RNAcentral lists this ribosomal RNA (202 nucleotides) under uncultured bacterium. RNAcentral describes it as "partial 16S ribosomal RNA". It matches the Rfam family "Bacterial small subunit ribosomal RNA", at positions 524 to 725 of the family's 1533-position model. The record is from RNAcentral.
CACGUAGGGGGCAAGCGUUGUCCGGAUUUAUUGGGCGUAAAGAGCUCGUAGGUGGUUCGGUAAGUCGGGUGUUAAACCCCCAGCUCAACCUGGGGACGCCACUCGAUACUGCUGUGACUAGAGUCCGGUAGGGGAGCGUGGAAUUCCUGGUGUAGCGGUGAAAUGCGUAGAUAUCAGGAGGAACACCGGUGGUGUAAACGGA